UCCGUCUUAACUCCGUUACUUGAGUUGGCUAAAGACUUAAUUACCCUCCAUAUAUAUAUUGAAUUACCUGGCUAAAGACUUAAUUCUCCGGUGACGCUGCCCGAAACUUUCGAUUCUCCGAUCGGAGCAUUACAGCCUCAGAAUUACUGUUUCCAAAUAAACCCACGUCAAAUUUUGUUGUAAAAGAGAACCCUUUUGGGGAAUUUGCAAUUCCAAUUACCUGGUGAGACGAUUUGAUGGAUAAAGAAAAGGGGCGUCUUUAUCGGAAAAAGUGAGGAACCUGGAAGAGAUUUUUCGGCAAAUUCUGCCGUCGCCGGCACCGCCGUAAGGAGGGACUUCUAGGUCUCUUUCUCUCACUCUCACACAUCUGAGUCGCUUUUUGUUAUCCCACUUUAAGAACCAAUCUGCUUCUUGAUAAUUUUAGGACAUGAAUUGUACUCGUCAUCUUGACCAAAUUCUUGUCGCCUCUUUGAUGUUGGUCUUUUGGAUGAGAAUUGUGGAGUGACUGCAAAGUAGAAAACUACUGAAAAGGUUUGUAAAAUCCCUGGUAUCAAGUAUAAGGUCAUGCUUGGCCUUAACACUAAUAAGAACUAGUUUCCUAUUGAUGUUGUUAGAGAAGAUGGUUAAGGAAUCUGGCUUUGGGAAUUAUAUUUGCCUUCUUAUAAGUACAAUAUUUUGCUAACUUGAUGAUUCUAUAAAAGUACUAGCUUAUUCUUUUUGUUGUGUGCUUAAUGCUCUUCUGUAAGGACACCUCUUUCUCUUUGCGAUGAAACUGUCCCUUAUAAUGUCUUCUAUUAGUUUUCUGAAUGCUUGUGACUGCCCGACUUGAUGAUUUUGACAUUGGUGUUUGGAUCUCAUGGAUCAUGUGUGAUGCUGAAGCCAAAUGUUGAUGAUGUAAUUAGCUAAACAGUGAGAACAUGCUACUUAUUUUCUGAUGAUGCAUAAAGUUGAGACAUGUAGUAUUAAUUAUAGCUAAUGUAGUUAGUUCCUAUUGGAUUAUGUGGUUUGAUAGCAUCUGGUAUGGUCUUUUAACACUUGAGGAACUUUUUAUGAUUUUCAUGAUUGGUACUAGAAUAUGGACUUGUUAAUUUUACCUGGCUCUUAAGAUUUGCAUCAGUUCUCCGUAUGUAAGGUUCUAUUAUGUUUGGACACAUGAGCUUGGGUCGGUCGAUUUUGAAAAUCAAUAACUUGAAGAGGGAAAAAGUAGGAGCUUCUGAUUUUGAUUCUUAUCUGCUUUUUCCAUUUCUGCAAAUUAGAUACAACAAAUUAAAAAGAUGAAAUCUUCAUCCAUAUGCUUCUAAUGUAAAUUAUGUCACUUUCACCAACUAAUGUACAACAAUUAUUAAAGAUGUAGAAGGACACCAAAUCAUUCAAUUAAGUUGAAGAGAGAGAACAGAUUCACAAUGUAAACACCACAAAUCACUAAACCAUUGUUGGAUUCUGGUGCCAAAAAGAUGAAGAAAACUAUCAAUACAAAAGAUGAAGAAAACUAUCAAAUUUAGAUCAAUUGACAAGGACAAAUAAACUUUUGUAUAAAUUCCAAAAAACAACAGAAAAAGAAAAACAUAUAACAGAAACUAAAACAGAAAAUCAACAAAACUGUCCAAAAGAGUAGAAUAUCACCCAACUUUGAUAUAUCAUAUAUAUAGUUGGAAGAGAAGCAUCACAUUAUUGUCUUAAUCAAAUAGAUGGUCCAGACAAACAUAGCAUUUAAUUUGAAAUUACCGUGAUAACAUAGAGGGAAAAUACUAUGAAGCAAUAAGAAUGACAAUGAACCAGAUUUUAUGGCUGUAAAACAAUAUGAACUAUCGAUGAUCCAUCAUUAAAAUUAUCAAUGAAGAAGAUAUUUGUCAUAUUACAAACAACUUCCUCUUGUGAAGUGCGGUAAAAGCCAAUGCAACAUAAGCUCAUCUCUUCCAAAUUUCAAGGAAAUUUCAAGUUUUAGAGUAAAAAAGUACAGCUUUCAGCCAUCUAGUUUCUUGAAAACACCACCAAAGCGCAUAAGCUGCAACAUGGAUGCCUUCAAUCUCAAUUUGAUGAUAGGCACUAUCUUUUUCAGAUCAAGAUUAUCAAAACAACAACACCAACCACAAAAUCAAGAAAAACAACCAAAUAAAGAAAAAACAAGAGCAAGAAUCUCAUCAAAAUGACCCACAAUAGCCCAAAUUAGCUAGAUCAAGUUCUAUUCUUGAGCAUCUCAAAUUUAUCACUCUCAAACUGAACCAAAAACAGAGUAAAUUAUAAAUUUAAGAAAGAAGACCCCUACAUAUCCAAAAGAAAUAUUAAAACUUAAGAGAAUCUAAAGGGGGAGAUAUAACAAAUUUUAAUCUGAUAAAAACUCAAUAGGUUAAUAACGGUUAAUAAAGCAGAUCAAGAACACCCACAUUGUCAAACAAAAAAAUUAGCAAAAACCAAGCCACAAAUCAAAUUCAAAUAAUUUAUGAUCAAAAGAAAAUCACAAAUAGAGAAAUAAAUUAAAAUGAUAGGGGAAAAACAAUUAUUGGAUUGUUCAUCUCCACUGCCCGUUCUGCUUUGGAGAACCUCUUGAAGAUUCGAUACUAGACCCGGAGGCAAGAAGUUAUUCUUUACAUCAGAGCUACUCAUUCUGUUCGUAUAGGGGAGAGAGAUGAAUCAAAACCCUAGAGAGAGAAGGAAAAGAUGCUAAUAAUGUGCAACUGAAAAAGUAAGUGAGAUUGCUGGGAGACCCAAUUCAAAACCCACUACGGAGACCCAAUUUAUUUUUGGCCAUUUUCAUGAAGAAAGCCCCACAAAAUCUCAGACCCAUUUCGUUGUUGAACAAAUUCAUGAAGAAAAAGCCUCCUAAUCACAAACCCAAUUCAAUUUUGAGCAAACCCAUGAAGCAAAAAUCACAAAUACACAGACCCCUGAAGCUAAUGAAGAAAUUAGUGAAGAAGAUGAAGAGCCACAAAGCCUAGAUGAAGCUAAUGAAGAAAUUAGUGAAGGAGAAGAAGAUGAAGAGGCACGUAACCGAGGAUGAUGAGGGUGUUGAUGCAAAAGCUGAUGAUUUCAUCAACAAAUUCAAGAACCAGUUGAAG
RNAcentral lists this long non-coding RNA (3056 nucleotides) under Panax ginseng (ginseng). RNAcentral describes it as "long non-coding RNA (PGIN_LNC014777)". The record is from RNAcentral. Lineage: Eukaryota; Viridiplantae; Streptophyta; Magnoliopsida; Apiales; Araliaceae.